GACGAACGCUGGCGGCGUGCCUAAUACAUGCAAGUAGAACGCUGAAGAGAGGAGCUUGCUCUUCUUGGAUGGGUUGCGAACGGGUGAGUAACGCGUAGGUAACCUGCCUUGUAGCGGGGGAUAACUAUUGGAGACGAUAGCUAAUACCGCAUAACAAUGGAUGACACAUGUCAUUUAUUUGAAAGGGGCAAUUGCUCCACUACAAGAUGGACCUGCGUUGUAUUAGCUAGUAGGUGAGGUAAUGGCUCACCUAGGCGACGAUACAUAGCCGACCUGAGAGGGUGAACGGCCACACUGGGACUGAGACACGGCCCAGACUCCUACGGGAGGCAGCAGUAGGGAAUCUUCGGCAAUGGGGGCAACCCUGACCGAGCAACGCCGCGUGAGUGAAGAAGGUUUUCGGAUCGUAAAGCUCUGUUGUAAGUCAAGAACGGGUGUGAGAGUGGAAAGUUCACACUGUGACGGUAGCUUACCAGAAAGGGACGGCUAACUACGUG
Molecule: ribosomal RNA, 497 nt
Filed under: uncultured bacterium
Lineage: Bacteria
Description: partial 16S ribosomal RNA
Rfam family: Bacterial small subunit ribosomal RNA
Source: RNAcentral